RNAcentral lists this ribosomal RNA (246 nucleotides) under uncultured Actinomycetes bacterium. RNAcentral describes it as "uncultured actinobacterium partial 16S ribosomal RNA". It matches the Rfam family "Bacterial small subunit ribosomal RNA", at positions 28 to 276 of the family's 1533-position model. The record is from RNAcentral. Lineage: Bacteria; Bacillati; Actinomycetota; Actinomycetes.
GACGAACACUGGCGGCGUGCUUAACACAUGCAAGUCGAGCGGUAAGGCCCUUUCGGGGGUACACGAGCGGCGAACGGGUGAGUAACAAGUGGGUGACCUGCCCUCAGCUCUGGGAUAAGCCUGGGAAACCGGGUCUAAUACUGGAUAUGACUCCAUGACGCAUGUUGUGGGGUGGAAAGCCUUGUGCGGCUGAGGAUGGGCCCGCGGUCUAUCAGCUUGUUGGUGGGUGAUGGCCUACCAAGGCGA